GGGGUAGGUGGGCGCUGGUGCGCUCCGCGGUCUUCAAAACCGUUGCAGACGGCGAACAGCCGCCUGGGUGGGUUCGAUUCCCGCAUACC
Molecule: transfer RNA, 89 nt
Filed under: uncultured Anaerotruncus sp.
Lineage: Bacteria; Bacillati; Bacillota; Clostridia; Eubacteriales; Oscillospiraceae
Description: Selenocysteine transfer RNA
Rfam family: Selenocysteine transfer RNA
Source: RNAcentral